AUGAAGGCUAACUGGAUCAUCCUCAUCCACCAAUCCGGUAGUCCGUGGCAUCUCGUGGAUAUCUACACCCAGCGAGAGAUCACCCUUCCAUCGUUGGAUACCGCCGCCAUCGAGCCUCGCGGCCCGCCGAACACUCCUGGCUACUACGCACGAGACGCGUCAAGCUUUUGGCUCGACCUCUGUUUGCUGAAAGUUGUAAUCUGCAAAGUGCCCACACCAUCAGAAGACUACAUGGAUUACAAGCUCAUUGCCUUGUUCAACAUGGGAUUAGUCUAUCUGGAAUCCGGUCAUCAUACAUGGUUAUGGCUCAUCGUCAAUCCUGUUGAGGCAACAUUUCUGUCUGAUGCUAUAGUGCACGAUGGCAUCAUUUACGUGGUCGACGCACAGAUUGGCUGCCUAUACUGGUGGAAUCUAUCAUCAGUUGAUAUGAGAACAGUAGUAUACCAUAUAACUGGAAUUAACCGAUGCAAGUUGAAGAAGGAUUGGACGGUGCUGCCGGCUGGCGUCAAGUUCGAUCCCACGGAGCAGGAGCUCAUUAAGCACCUUGAGGCCAAAGUGAGUGCUGACAGCGCGAGAUCUCACCCUCUCGUCGAUUUGUUCAUACGAACCAUCGACAGCGAGCACGGCAUAUGCUACACCCAUCCCGAGAGACUUCCAGAUGCAGACCUGGUGAAGCAAUUACAAUUUGACAGUUAA
Molecule: ribosomal RNA, 696 nt
Filed under: Triticum aestivum (bread wheat)
Lineage: Eukaryota; Viridiplantae; Streptophyta; Magnoliopsida; Poales; Poaceae
Description: partial small subunit ribosomal RNA
Source: RNAcentral